This 543-nucleotide ribosomal RNA is filed under the name uncultured bacterium. RNAcentral's name for it is "bacterial SSU rRNA". It matches the Rfam family "Bacterial small subunit ribosomal RNA", at positions 355 to 896 of the family's 1533-position model. The record is from RNAcentral.
UGAGGAAUAUUGGUCAAUGGGCGAGAGCCUGAGCCAGCCAAGUAGCGUGCAGGAUGACGGCCCUAUGGGUUGUAAACUGCUUUUAUGUGGGGAUAAAGUGAGCUACGUGUAGUUUAUUGCAGGUACCACAUGAAUAAGGACCGGCUAAUUCCGUGCCAGCAGCCGCGGUAAUACGGAAGGUCCAGGCGUUAUCCGGAUUUAUUGGGUUUAAAGGGAGCGUAGGCCGUGGAUUAAGCGUGUUGUGAAAUGUAGACGCUCAACGUCUGAAUUGCAGCGCGAACUGGUUCACUUGAGUAUGCACAACGUAGGCGGAAUUCGUCGUGUAGCGGUGAAAUGCUUAGAUAUGACGAAGAACUCCGAUUGCGAAGGCAGCUUACGGGAGCACAACUGACGCUGAAGCUCGAAGGUGCGGGUAUCAAACAGGAUUAGAUACCCUGGUAGUCCGCACAGUAAACGAUGGAUGCCCGUUGUUAGUUCACUUAAGAAUUAGCGACCAAGCGAAAGCAUUAAGCAUCCCACCUGGGGAGUACGCCGGCAACGGUG